Molecule: ribosomal RNA, 1815 nt
Filed under: marine metagenome
Description: bacterial LSU rRNA
Rfam family: Bacterial large subunit ribosomal RNA
Source: RNAcentral
UCCAUGAGCAGGUUGAAGCUGUGGUAACACAUAGUGGAGGACCGAACCCGUUGACGUUGAAAAGUCUUGGGAUGACUUGUGGAUAGGGGUGAAAGGCCAAUCAAACUCGGAAAUAGCUCGUACUCCCCGAAAUGCAUUUAGGUGCAGCGUUGAUUUAGUUUUAUAGAGGUAGAGCUACUGAUUGGAUGCGGGGGUUUCACCACCUACCAAUUCUUGACAAACUCCGAAUGCUAUAAAAUGAUGAUCAGCAGUGAGGGCAUGGGUGCUAAGGUCCAUGUCCGAGAGGGAAAGAACCCAGACCAUCAGCGAAGGUCCCAAAAUGUAUGUUAAGUUGAUUAAACGAGGUUGAACUGCCCAGACAGCUAGGAUGUUGGCUUGGAAGCAGCCAUUCAUUUAAAGAGUGCGUAACAGCUCACUAGUCGAGCGGUUCGGCAUGGAUAAUAAUCGGGCAUAAACAUACUACCGAAGCUAUGGACUUGUAAAAGUGGUAGGGGAGCAUUGUAGUGUCGUUGAAGGAGAAAUGUGAGUUUUUCUGGAGAGACUACAAAAGAAAAUGUAGGCAUAAGUAACGAUAAUGCGGGCGAGAAACCCGCACACCGAAAGACUAAGGUUUCCUCAGCUAUGCUAAUCAGCUGAGGGUUAGUCGGGACCUAACGCGAACCCGAAAGGGGUAGUGGAUGGACAACAGGUUAAUAUUCCUGUACCUGCUCACAUUAAACGUGACGGAGGCGUGGAUUUGGUGCGUACUGACGGAAUAGUACGUUGAAGCCAGUGGUAACACGGCAAUAGUACACUGAAACUUCGGUAGAUGUGAUAAUCCAGAGUAACGACUUCCAAGAAAAACAAGUGAAGCAGCCCGUACCCCAAACCGACACAGGUAGUUGGGAUGAGAAUUCUAAGGUGCUCGAGUGAUUCAUGGCUAAGGAACUAGGCAAAAUCGACCCGUAACUUCGGGAGAAGGGUCGCCCAUCUUCGGAUGGGCCGCAGUGAAAAGAUCCAGGCGACUGUUUAUCAAAAACACAGGGCUAUGCUAAAUCGAAAGAUGAUGUAUAUGGCCUGACACCUGCCCGGUGCUGGAAGGUUAAGUGGAGGGUUUAGCUUCGGCAAAGAUCUGAAAUGAAGCCCCAGUAAACGGCGGCCGUAACUAUAACGGUCCUAAGGUAGCGAAAUUCCUUGUCGGGUAAGUUCCGACCUGCACGAAUGGUGCAACGAUCUGGAUACUGUCUCGGCCAUGAGCUCGGUGAAAUUGUAGUAUCGGUGAAGAUGCCGAUUACCCGCAAUGGGACGAAAAGACCCCGUGAACCUUUACUAUAGCUUAGUAUUGGCUUUGGAUAAGUAAUGUGUAGAAUAGGUGGAAGACUUUGAAGCGACAUCGCUAGGUGUUGUGGAGUCGACCAGUGAAAUACCACCCUUUGCUUAUCUGAAGUCUAACCUUCAACAAGGGACAGUGCUUGGUGGGUAGUUUGACUGGGGUGGUCGCCUCCAAAAGAGUAACGGAGGCUUCUAAAGGUUCCCUCAGCACGCUUGGUAACCGUGCGUAGAGUGCAAUGGCAUAAGGGAGCUUGACUGAGAGACUGACAAGUCGAUCAGGUACGAAAGUAGAGCAUAGUGAUCCGGUGGUUCCGUAUGGAAGGGCCAUCGCUCAAAGGAUAAAAGGUACUCCGGGGAUAACAGGCUGAUCUCCCCCAAGAGCUCAUAUCGACGGGGGGGUUUGGCACCUCGAUGUCGGCUCGUCACAUCCUGGGGCUGGAGAAGGUCCCAAGGGUUGGGCUGUUCGCCCAUUAAAGUGGCACGCGAGCUGGGUUCAGAACGUCG